RNAcentral lists this ribosomal RNA (463 nucleotides) under uncultured bacterium. Its description in RNAcentral is "partial 16S ribosomal RNA". It matches the Rfam family "Bacterial small subunit ribosomal RNA", at positions 28 to 507 of the family's 1533-position model. The record is from RNAcentral.
GACGAACGCUGGCGGCGUGCUUAACACAUGCAAGUCGAACGGUGCCCCUCUUCGGAGGGGAUCAGUGGCGAAUGGGUGAGUAAAACGUGGGCAACCUGCCCCCGGCUCUGGGAUAACUCCAAGCUAUUGGGGCUAAUACCGGAUGUUCACCGCUUCCCGCAUGGGUGGUGGUGGCAAGGGUUUCCGGCUGGGGAUGGGCCCGAGGCCUAUCAGCUUGCUGGUGGGGUAGUGGGCUACCAAGGCGACGACGGGUAGCCGGCCUGAGAGGGACACCGGCCACACUGGGACGGAGACACGGCCCAGACUCCUACGGGAGGCAGCGGUGGAGAAUAGUACGCUAUGGGCUGAAGCCUGACGCGGCGACGCCGCGUGGGGGAUGACGUCCAGCGGGUAGGAAUCCUCUGCCAGCAGGGACGAAGCGCAAAUGACGGUACCGGCAGAAGAAGCACCGGCCAACUACGUG